GGAGUGCUCGAAAGAGAACCUGCACACAGGUGCUGCAUGGCUGUCGUCAGCUCGUGUCGUGAGAUGUUGGGUUAAGUCCCGCAACGAGCGCAACCCUUGCCAUUAGUUGCUACGAAAGGGCACUCUAAUGGGACUGCCGGUGACAAACCGGAGGAAGGUGGGGAUGACGUCAAGUCCUCAUGGCCCUUAUAGGUGGGGCUACACACGUCAUACAAUGGCCGGUACAGAGGGUAGCCAACCCGCGAGGGGGAGCCAAUCCCACAAAGCCGGUCGUAGUCCGGAUCGCAGUCUGCAACUCGACUGCGUGAAGUCGGAAUCGCUAGUAAUCGCGGAUCAGCAUGUCGCGGUGAAUACGCUCCCGGGUCUU
Molecule: ribosomal RNA, 367 nt
Filed under: uncultured Allobrachymonas sp.
Lineage: Bacteria; Pseudomonadati; Pseudomonadota; Betaproteobacteria; Burkholderiales; Comamonadaceae
Description: bacterial SSU rRNA
Rfam family: Bacterial small subunit ribosomal RNA
Source: RNAcentral